UCGAACCCUAGCAUAGUGCAUGUGAGGUUUAACUCAGUGGUGGCUCCACGCCGUGAUGAGUUCUCGACUCCAUCCACGGGUAGCCCUUUCCUACUCGAGCCCUCUCACCCUGCCCAAAUGCUAGGUCGGCUCUGAUACCAAAUGUCACGACCCGGGUCUAAUGAGCUAACUGGCCGAUAACUCCAUUUUGGUCCUUGCAACCACGGACCAAAAUGCUU
RNAcentral lists this long non-coding RNA (218 nucleotides) under Musa acuminata (dwarf banana). Its description in RNAcentral is "long non-coding RNA (MACU_LNC004021)". Lineage: Eukaryota; Viridiplantae; Streptophyta; Magnoliopsida; Zingiberales; Musaceae. The record is from RNAcentral.